GGAGGAAAAGAAACCAACAGGGAUUGCCUCAGUAACGGCGAGUGAAGCGGCAAUAGCUCAAAUUUGAAAUCUGGCUCUUUCAGAGUCCGAGUUGUAAUUUGUAGAGGAUGUUUCGGACAAGGCUUCGGUUUAAAUUCCUUGGAACAGGAUGUCAUAGAGGGUGAGAGUCCCGUCUUGAACCGUCUGCUGCGUCUAUGUGAAACUCCUUCGACGAGUCGAGUUGUUUGGGAAUGCAGCUCAAAAUGGGAGGUAAAUUUCUUCUAAAGCUAAAUAUUGGCCAGAGACCGAUAGCGCACAAGUAGAGUGAUCGAAAGAUGAAAAGCACUUUGAAAAGAGAGUUAAACAGUAUGUGAAAUUGUUGAAAGGGAAGCGGUUGCAACCAGACUUGUGUGUAACAGUUCAACCUUGGUUUUCCAAGGCCUAUUCUGUUAUACCAGGCCAGCAUCGGUUCGGGUGGUUAGUUAAAGGCAUCGGGAAUGUAUCUACCCCUCGGGGUCGACUUAUAGCCCUUUGUGUAAUGUGACCUACCUGGACCGAGGCACGCGCAUUUGCUCGGAUGCUGGCGUAAUGGUUGUAACCGAC
This 582-nucleotide ribosomal RNA is filed under the name Aequabiliella effusa. Its description in RNAcentral is "eukaryotic LSU rRNA". It matches the Rfam family "Eukaryotic large subunit ribosomal RNA", at positions 52 to 648 of the family's 3401-position model. The record is from RNAcentral. Lineage: Eukaryota; Fungi; Ascomycota; Eurotiomycetes; Phaeomoniellales; Phaeomoniellaceae.